UUGCCUAGAGACAAGUCCCUGUGGCUUAGCGGAGAAGGAAACAUCUGUGGAGGUGGGUCGGCCACAGACUUUCACUUGUACUGUUUGUGGGAUCCUCAGCAUAAUCUCAUGAUGCUAGGAGAAUGCUGAUGUGAGCCAGCCUAAGGAAACCUCAAGCAGAGCCGCAGGAAUUCACUACGAAAUCUCUUAAGUGUCCAAAAGGAUCUGCAGGAUGCCUCAGGCCUACCUAGACUUUGCAGGGGUGAAGUUGCAGGACCCCAUCCACCCUUCACCAGUCUGUAUCUUCACCUGUUUCUGAACUUAUUGUGUCUCACACUGUAUGUGCCAGAAUGAAAUCCCAAGAUGAUGGAGAAGUGUCCCCUCACGAUGUGAAACACUUGAUCUCCUGGGAACCAAAUUUGAGGUGAAGGUGCAGGUCUGCAUCCAAACCUCACCAGAUUACAUCCUCACCCCAUCUGACCUCACUGCUGCUCACACUGUUUGUCCCAGAAUAAAAUCCCAAGAUGAUGGCGGAGUGCCCCCUCAUGACACGAAGCACCUGCUCUACUGCAAACC
Gorilla gorilla gorilla (western lowland gorilla) is the source of this 555-nucleotide long non-coding RNA. RefSeq lists it as uncharacterized. The transcript has 3 exons. The record is from RefSeq and is a predicted model, not a curated record. Lineage: Eukaryota; Metazoa; Chordata; Mammalia; Primates; Hominidae.